GGAAAUAUCCAUGUUGGGAUGUCACCUCAUCGAUCGCUAGGGUUGAUUCUGCUGCUCCGGCUGGCUAGGUGGGUGUCCCCUUCCUUCCUCAAGGCUCCAUAGCUGCAGGCCGGGUCAGAGGACGACCUUCCUUGGAUAGAGGAGGGCCGGACAAGGGUAUAGGAUUAGCUGCCGUUCCCUGCUGGCACCUCCAAACACGCUCUCGGACAUGUCCAUACUGAAUGACUCUUCUCCCCCAGCUAGUGGCCUGAGGAGGUAGCUCAGUUGGUAGAGUCCUUGCAUGUGUGAGGCCCUAGAGUCUGUCUCUAGAA
This 311-nucleotide small nuclear RNA is filed under the name Meriones unguiculatus (Mongolian gerbil). RNAcentral describes it as "7SK RNA (ENSMUGG00000007875.1)". It matches the Rfam family "7SK RNA". Rfam says of the family: 7SK was discovered as an abundant small nuclear RNA in the mid-70s but a possible function has only recently been suggested. Two independent studies have found that 7SK RNA binds the CDK9/cyclin T complex (known as elongation factor P-TEFb). The record is from RNAcentral. Lineage: Eukaryota; Metazoa; Chordata; Mammalia; Rodentia; Muridae.